AUUGAACGCUAGCGGCAUGCUUUACACAUGCAAGUCGAACGAGUGGAGGACGGGUGUGUAAUAUAUCGGAACGUCCCCAGUAGCGGGGGAUAACUACUCGAACGAGUGGCUAAUACCGCAUACUAUUGGAGCGGCCGAUAUCGGAUUUGCUGGUUGGGGGGGUAAAGGCUCACAAAGGCCACGAUCCGGAGCUGGUUUGAGAGGAAGACCAGCCACACUGGGACUGAGACACGGCCCAGACGCCUACGGGAGGCAGCAGUGGGGAAUUUUGGACAAUGGGGGAAACCCUGAUCCAGACAUCCCGCGUGUAUGAGAAGGCCUUCGGGUUGUAAAGUACUUUUGGCAGAGAAGCGGUAUCUGCAGAAUAAGCACCGGCUAACUACGUGCCAGCAGCCGCGGUAAUUC
RNAcentral lists this ribosomal RNA (405 nucleotides) under uncultured bacterium. Its description in RNAcentral is "partial 16S ribosomal RNA". It matches the Rfam family "Bacterial small subunit ribosomal RNA", at positions 30 to 526 of the family's 1533-position model. The record is from RNAcentral.